This 460-nucleotide ribosomal RNA is filed under the name uncultured bacterium. RNAcentral describes it as "partial 16S ribosomal RNA". It matches the Rfam family "Bacterial small subunit ribosomal RNA", at positions 338 to 795 of the family's 1533-position model. The record is from RNAcentral.
CCUACGGGAGGCAGCAGUGAGGAAUAUUGGUCAAUGGACGAGAGUCUGAACCAGCCAAGUAGCGUGAAGGAUGACUGCCCUAUGGGUUGUAAACUUCUUUUAUAAAGGAAUAAAACGACGCACGUGUGCCUUUUUGCAUGUACUUUAUGAAUAAGGAUCGGCUAACUCCGUGCCAGCAGCCGCGGUAAUACGGUGGAUACGAGCGUUAUCCGGAUUUAUUGGGUUUAAAGGGAGCGUAGAUGGGUUGUUAAGUCAGUUGUGAAAGUUUGCGGCUCAACCGUAAAAUUGCAAUUGAUACUGGCAGUCUUGAGUACAGUAGAGGUGGGCGGAAUUCGUGGUGUAGCGGUGAAAUGCUUAGAUAUCACGAAGAACCCCGAUUGCGAAGGCAGCUUACUAAACUGUGACUGACAUUGAUGCUCGAAAGUGUGGGGAUCAAACAGGAUUAGAUACCCUUGUAGUC